RNAcentral lists this ribosomal RNA (234 nucleotides) under uncultured bacterium. Its description in RNAcentral is "partial 16S ribosomal RNA". It matches the Rfam family "Bacterial small subunit ribosomal RNA", at positions 97 to 334 of the family's 1533-position model. The record is from RNAcentral.
GGCGGACGGGUGAGUAAUGCUUGGGAAUUUGCCUAGUAGUGGGGGACAACACGAGGAAACUCGUGCUAAUACCGCAUACGCCCUACGGGGGAAAGCGGGGGAUCUUCGGACCUCGCGCUAUUAGAUGAGCCCAAGUCCGAUUAGCUUGUUGGUGAGGUAAAGGCUCACCAAGGCGACGAUCGGUAGCUGGUCUGAGAGGACGAUCAGCCACACUGGGACUGAGACACGGCCCAG